This 494-nucleotide ribosomal RNA is filed under the name uncultured bacterium. Its description in RNAcentral is "partial 16S ribosomal RNA". It matches the Rfam family "Bacterial small subunit ribosomal RNA", at positions 28 to 507 of the family's 1533-position model. The record is from RNAcentral.
GACGAACGCUGGCGGCGCGCUUAACACAUGCAAGUCGAACGGAAAGGCCUGCUUUCCCUUGUGGAUUGCGGGUACUCGAGUGGCGAACGGGUGAGUAACACGUGAGUGAUCUGCCCCCAACUUGGGUAUAAGCCUGGGAAACUGGGUCUAAUUCCCGAUAGGACUGCAGGGUGGUGCCUGUGGUGGAAAACGAUUUUCUAGUGGUUGGGGAUGAGCUCGCGGCCUAUCAGCUUGUUGGUGGGGUAAUGGCCUACCAAGGCGGCGACGGGUAGCCGGCCUGAGAGGGUGGACGGCCACAUUGGGACUGAGAUACGGCCCAGACUCCUACGGGAGGCAGCAGUGGGGAAUAGAGCACAAUGGGCGGAAGCCUGAUGCAGCGACGCAGCGUGGGGGAUGACGGCCUUCGGGUUGUAAACUCCUUUCGACCGAGAGGAAGCCACCUGGUUGGAAGGGUGGUGACGGUAGUGGUAGAAGAAGCACCGGCUAACUACGUG